Molecule: ribosomal RNA, 119 nt
Filed under: Triticum dicoccoides
Lineage: Eukaryota; Viridiplantae; Streptophyta; Magnoliopsida; Poales; Poaceae
Source: RNAcentral
GGAUGCGAUCAUACCAGCACUAAAGCACCGGAUCCCAUCAGAACUUCGAAGUUAAGCGUGCUUGGGCGAGUGUAGUACUAGGAUGGGUGACCUCCUGGGAAGUCCUAGUGUUGCAUUCC